RNAcentral lists this ribosomal RNA (486 nucleotides) under uncultured organism. Its description in RNAcentral is "bacterial SSU rRNA". It matches the Rfam family "Bacterial small subunit ribosomal RNA", at positions 28 to 507 of the family's 1533-position model. The record is from RNAcentral.
GAUGAACGCUAGCGGCAGGCCUAACACAUGCAAGUCGAACGGUAACAGAGGGAGCUUGCUCCCUGCUGACGAGUGGCGCACGGGUGCGUAACGCGUAUACAACCUACCUUUUACAGGGGGAUAGCCCAGAGAAAUUUGGAUUAAUACCCCAUGGUAUUGAGAAUUGGCAUCGAUUUUCAAUUAAAGAUUUAUCGGUAAAAGAUGGGUAUGCGUUCUAUUAGCUAGUAGGUAGGGUAACGGCCUACCUAGGCAACGAUAGAUAGGGGCCCUGAGAGGGGGAUCCCCCACACUGGUACUGAGACACGGACCAGACUCCUACGGGAGGCAGCAGUGAGGAAUAUUGGACAAUGGAGGCAACUCUGAUCCAGCCAUGCCGCGUGCAGGAAGACUGCCCUAUGGGUUGUAAACUGCUUUUAUACGGGAAGAAACACCGCUACGUGUAGCGGCUUGACGGUACCGUAAGAAUAAGGAUCGGCUAACUCCGUG